GGGUCUACCCAUUGGUCAGGCUUAAUUGUCUGCACUGGUGAGAUGGAUCUCUACCUUCUGAGGAACUUUCAUGCCAUUUAUUUGGUGUGAUGGGAAAUCAGGACUGUUACUUUGAAAAAAUUAGAGUGUUUAAAGCAGACUAUCGUCUGAAUACAUUAGCAUGGAAUAAUGAAAUAGGACGGACUGAUUCUAUUUCGUUGGUUUCUAGGAUCACCGUAAUGAUUAAUAGGGAUAGUUG
This 238-nucleotide ribosomal RNA is filed under the name uncultured Diversispora. RNAcentral's name for it is "partial 18S ribosomal RNA". The stretch from base 48 to 238 matches the Rfam family "Eukaryotic small subunit ribosomal RNA", at positions 693 to 884 of the family's 1831-position model. Lineage: Eukaryota; Fungi; Glomeromycota; Glomeromycetes; Diversisporales; Diversisporaceae. The record is from RNAcentral.